RNAcentral lists this ribosomal RNA (444 nucleotides) under uncultured Glomeromycotina. Its description in RNAcentral is "SSU rRNA". It matches the Rfam family "Eukaryotic small subunit ribosomal RNA", at positions 569 to 1015 of the family's 1831-position model. Lineage: Eukaryota; Fungi; Glomeromycota. The record is from RNAcentral.
AGCAGCCGCGGUAAUUCCAGCUCCAAUAGCGUAUAUUAAAGUUGUUGCAGUUAAAAAGCUCGUAGUUGAAUUUCGGGAUCAAUAUGUCGGUCGUGCUCUUUGGUACGUACUGGUGUCAUUGUUCCCCUCCUUUCUGACGAACCAUGAUGUCAUUCCAUUUGGUGUUAUGGGGAGUUAGGACUGUUACUUUGAAAAAAUUGAGUGUUUAAAGCAGGUAUUAGCUUGAAUACAUUAGCAUGGAAUAAUGAAAUAGGACGUUCGAUCCUAUUUUGUUGGUUUCUAGGAUCAACGUAAUGAUUAAUAGGGAUAGUUGGGGGCAUUAGUAUUCAAUUGUCAGAGGUGAAAUUCUUGGAUUUAUUGAAGACUAACUACUGCGAAAGCAUUUGCCAAGGAUGUUUUCAUUAAUCAAGAACGAAAGUUAGGGGAUCGAAGACGAUCAGAUAC